AGUGCCGUCGAUACUGUAAGGCUAGGAUUUAGUUGCUGUGGGUGGAAUGUGUGGUGUAGCGGUGAAAUGCUUAGAUAUCACACAGAAUAUCGAUUGCGAAGGCAGCUCACAAAGCCAAGAUUGACGCUGAGGCACGAAAGUGUGGGGAUCAAACAGGAUUAGAUACCCUGGUAGUGCACACUGUAAACGAUGAUAACUCGCUGCCGGCGAUACACAGUCGGUGGUCAAGCGAAAGCGAUAAGUUAUCCACCUGGGGAGUACGACCGCAAGGUUGAAACUCAAAGGAAUUGACGGGGGCCCGCACAAGCGGAGGAACAUGUGGUUUAAUUCGAUGAUACGCGAGGAACCUUACCCGGGCUCGAACGGUGCAUGAAUAUACAAGAGAUUGUAUAGUCCUUCGGGACAUGUAUCGAGGUGCUGCAUGGUUGUCGUCAGCUCGUGCCGUGAGGUGUCGGCUUAAGUGCCAUAACGAGCGCAACCCUUGUCAUUAGUUACCAUCAGGUCAAGCUGGGGACUCUAAUGAGACUGCCACCGUAAGGUGUGAGGAAGGGGGGGAUGACGUCAAAUCAGCACGGCCCUUAUGUCCGGGGCGACACACGUGUUACAAUGGGGGGUACAGAGGGCAGCCAUCCGGCGACGGAGCGCCAAUCUCAAAAACCCUUCUCAGUUCGGAUUGGAGUCUGCAACUCGA
This 691-nucleotide ribosomal RNA is filed under the name uncultured bacterium. Its description in RNAcentral is "bacterial SSU rRNA". It matches the Rfam family "Bacterial small subunit ribosomal RNA", at positions 620 to 1315 of the family's 1533-position model. The record is from RNAcentral.